RNAcentral lists this ribosomal RNA (333 nucleotides) under Triticum aestivum (bread wheat). RNAcentral describes it as "partial small subunit ribosomal RNA". The record is from RNAcentral. Lineage: Eukaryota; Viridiplantae; Streptophyta; Magnoliopsida; Poales; Poaceae.
AUGGUACUGUCGCCUCCUGCAGCGGCCAAGCAGAAGGUGAAGAAAAAUGCCAAGAAGGAGGUGGUGGCGGCCACGCCGGUGCACGUGACAGUUAGCACCCAGUGCCAACAGUUCAAGAGAAGAGCUUUAAAGGUGAAGGAGGAUCUUGAAAGUGUUGUCCCGGGGGUUUUUGUGACAAUCAACCCUGAAAAGCCAUGCCGUGGAUGCCUUGAGAUAUGGGAGAAAGGUGGUGAUGUGUUCAUUUCAGUGCUGAACAUGCCACGACCCUUCAAAAAGAUGAAGGAGCUCAACAUGGACAAUGUUAUCAAGGACAUUGCCCAGAAAAUUGCUUGA